Molecule: ribosomal RNA, 253 nt
Filed under: uncultured bacterium
Lineage: Bacteria
Description: partial 16S ribosomal RNA
Rfam family: Bacterial small subunit ribosomal RNA
Source: RNAcentral
UACGAACCGUGCGAACGUUGUUCGGAUUCACUGGGCUUAAAGGGCGCGUAGGCGGACAAUCGAGUCGGGGGUGAAAUCUUUCAGCUUAACUGGAAACGUGCCUCCGAUACUGGUUGUCUCGAGGGAGGUAGGGGCAUGCGGAACUUCCGGUGGAGCGGUGAAAUGCGUAGAUAUUUGGAGGAAUACCGAUGGCGAAGGCAGCCCCCUGGGCCAAUACUGACGCUCAUGCACGAAAGCGUGGGGAGCAAACAGG